This 254-nucleotide ribosomal RNA is filed under the name uncultured bacterium. Its description in RNAcentral is "partial 16S ribosomal RNA". It matches the Rfam family "Bacterial small subunit ribosomal RNA", at positions 524 to 776 of the family's 1533-position model. The record is from RNAcentral.
UACGUAGGGUGCGAGCGUUGUCCGGAAUUAUUGGGCGUAAAGAGCUCGUAGGCGGUCUGUCGCGUCGAUCGUGAAAACUUGGGGCUUAACCCUGAGCUUGCGGUCGAUACGGUCAUGACUGGAGUUCGGCAGGGGAGACUGGAAUUCCUGGUGUAGCGGUGAAAUGCGCAGAUAUCGUUUGGAACGCCAACGGUGAAAACAGACAGCUGGGAGUGUGCUGACGCUGAGACACGAAAGCCAGGGGAGCGAACGGG